This 362-nucleotide ribosomal RNA is filed under the name Klebsiella pneumoniae. RNAcentral's name for it is "bacterial SSU rRNA". It matches the Rfam family "Bacterial small subunit ribosomal RNA", at positions 69 to 433 of the family's 1533-position model. The record is from RNAcentral. Lineage: Bacteria; Pseudomonadati; Pseudomonadota; Gammaproteobacteria; Enterobacterales; Enterobacteriaceae.
GUCAGAGAGCUUGCUCUCGGGUGACGAGCGGCGGACGGGUGAUUAAUGUCUGGGAAACUGCCUGAUGGAGGGGGAUAACUACUGGAAACGGUAGCUAAUACCACAUAAUGUCGCAAGAACAAAGUGACCUACCUUCCUCCCUCUUGCCAUCAGAUGUGCCCAGAUGGGAUUAGCUAGUAGGUGGGGUAACGGCUCACCUAAGCAACCAUCCCUAGCUGGUCUGAAAGGAUGACCACCCUCGCUGGAACUGACACACCGUCCUCACUCCUACGGGAGGCAUCAGUGGGUAAUAUUGCACAAUGGGCGCAUGCCUGAUGCAUCCAUGCCGCGUGUGUGAAGAAUGCCUUCUGGUUGUAAAUCAC